RNAcentral lists this ribosomal RNA (775 nucleotides) under uncultured Neocallimastigales. Its description in RNAcentral is "partial large subunit ribosomal RNA". It matches the Rfam family "Eukaryotic large subunit ribosomal RNA", at positions 26 to 621 of the family's 3401-position model. The record is from RNAcentral. Lineage: Eukaryota; Fungi; Neocallimastigomycota; Neocallimastigomycetes; Neocallimastigales.
CGCAUCUGUGCAUGCAGCAUAUCAAUAAGCGGAGGAAAAGAAACUAACAAGGAUUCCCCUAGUAACGGCGAGUGAAGCGGGAAGAGCUCAAAUUUGAAAUCUUAAAGGGUUUCCCUUUACGAAUUGUAGUUUAAAGAAGUGUUUUCUGUUGAGGUUUUGGUAAAAGUUCUUUGGAAUAGGACAUCAUAGAGGGUGAGAAUCCCGUAUUUGACCUUUACUUUCAACUUUGUGAUACACUUUCAAAGAGUCGGAUUGUUUGGGAAUGCAGUCCAAAAUGGGUGGUAAAUUUCAUCUAAAGCUAAAUAUUGGCGAGAGACCGAUAGCGAGCAAGUACCGUGAGGGAAAGAUGAAAAGAACUUUGAAAAGAGAGUUAAACAGUACGUGAAAUUGUCAAAAGGGAAGCGUUUGACACCAGUGUUGUUUUUCUGAAAAUCAAUUAAAGAACUGUUUAUGCUAAGUUGUUUAGACUUUAUCAGCUAUACUGCUUAGUUUUGAGCUUUUCUUUAAUGCACUUUUCAGUUAACAAGUCAACAUCAAUUUCUUUUGCUGUAAAAAAGCUUGAGGAAGGUGGCUUGAGAUUCGUCUUAAGUGUUUAUAGCCUCUUGCCUAUGCAGUCGGAGAGAUUGAGGUCUGCAGCGUAGAUCCUUCGGGGCUAAAUGCAUUUGUGCUAAGUUAUAGCAUUUUAUAGACAACUUGUUGACUAUGAUUUGUCUUGUAGCUUACUCGCUUAUGUUAUUUUACCUACGCUUAGGAUGUUGAACUCUAUCACACACAG